RNAcentral lists this small RNA (471 nucleotides) under Histoplasma capsulatum var. duboisii H88. RNAcentral's name for it is "Histoplasma capsulatum H88 hypothetical RNA". Lineage: Eukaryota; Fungi; Ascomycota; Eurotiomycetes; Onygenales; Ajellomycetaceae. The record is from RNAcentral.
CACCACGUUAUACCCUAACUACCUGCCUGCCUGCAAGUGCGGCCCUCCAAAAAAACGAAAAAAAUAGCCAAAAAAAACCCCCAACCUUUGUUGCCAGUGUGCCGAGAGGUUCUAUCUAAGUUUAGUAUAGUAGCUCAAAGAGCUUCGACAUGCACCCCGCAAUGGGAUCAUAGCUCCGUCAUCACUUAAAUCCAUUUUUCUUUUUCGGUUGCUUUUGUUUGGGUGUAUGCGAUGCACGCAAAUCACUACAGGGUGAACGAGAGAACUAAGACAUUUAUGUAAAACGCAAGCAUGCCAAGUGGACUGGUUGGGGAGUAUGCAAGGAAACAAGCACCGUACUACCGUAGAAUAAUGUCAACAUUUACCUUGUACGGUAGGCUUGAUAUCAUACCUGGAUAUAUAGAUAUAUAUAUAAAGCGCUAUCCAUUCUUCAACAAAGAGCUUUUUAAGCUGCACAUCAAACAAAGGCCC